Meriones unguiculatus (Mongolian gerbil) is the source of this 1098-nucleotide long non-coding RNA. RefSeq lists it as uncharacterized. NCBI's taxonomy places the organism in Eukaryota, Metazoa, Chordata, Mammalia, Rodentia, Muridae. The transcript has 3 exons. The record is from RefSeq and is a predicted model, not a curated record.
ACCACGACAACACGGAGGGAGGGGUGUGUCAGCGCUCGCGCGUGCUUUAGGAAAAAAAAAAGAAGAAGAAAAAUAGGGAAGGCGUCUCAGGCCUUGGAGACCCGGCACCCUCAGAGAGAGAGCCAGGCACGCCCAUUCUGUGCAACUCAGCUGGUCUUUGUUGGAGGAUUCGGCGAGGGAAUGCCGCCCGGGGUUGAUCCACCCAGUGGACUGGCUGGUAACUCCAGGAGGAGGGGAAAAGGAAUCUGUUGACGGCAGGCCAUCUGUGUACUCAGAGCAGAGCGGCAUUUCUGCACAAUCCCGGCCCGGGGUGAGCUGUGGACGUGUUAAGAGCUGGCUCCGAACGGGGCCAGGGAGCCAGGGCCAGAUCUGUUCUGCAAUUAUUUGCUGAAGAGGGCCGCCAGUCAAAACGAGAGCUCACAAAUGAAGCUGGUUUUGCCAGCCAGCUUAUUCUGGGGAUCCUCUCCCUCUGGAGGCUAAGAUUGCAGUGAAGGAAAGCCCAUUCUCUACCCCACUGGAUGAAACAAAGGAAGAUGCAUUGAAAGCUGGCUGGUGAAUGCCACGAAGCCUGACAACCUGAGAUCCAUUCCCAGAACCCACACGGUAGAAGCAAGGAACAGACUCCUAUUUGAGUCACUGUCUGACCACACACACACACACACACACACACACACACAAGAAUUUAAAAACUUUUAAAGAUGCAUAAAAGCACACACGAACGGAAAGCUUUUCAAAUGUUGCCUUUUUACCAAAAUCUAAGAAGCCAUUUUAAGUCACAGCAUCCAAAAGAAAAAUGUGCUACAGAUGCAAAUAUGACCUAGUAAUUUUAAGAAGCUUCAGAAUUUCACAAAUGUCUGCAUGUUUAAAAGAACGCUUUAGUAUUGUCGUAACGCUCUUAACUACGCGUUAGCCUGAGAAUAUACUGUCGGUGUCUCAUGAAAGUACUUUACCCAACUCCAGCAAUUACAGAGAGACAGUCUGCAUCACAGUCUACAGGCCCUGUGCCAGACCUGCUACAUGUUAGGUGGAGGAGAAAGCACCUACUAUGUGAAUAAAAACUCAGAAUGUUAUUUGGGAAACUAUCCUUACCUUGCAGAA